GAGCGCAACGCAACGCCAGCUUCGGCUGGCACUGAAUGUACCUGCGGGGAAUUCAGGUAUCAGGGCCGCCCGUUGAGGCGGCCUUUUUACUUUCA
This 95-nucleotide small RNA is filed under the name Enterobacter hormaechei. RNAcentral describes it as "STnc70". It matches the Rfam family "Enterobacterial sRNA STnc70". RNAcentral also lists the same sequence under 1 other name. The record is from RNAcentral. Lineage: Bacteria; Pseudomonadati; Pseudomonadota; Gammaproteobacteria; Enterobacterales; Enterobacteriaceae.